GUCCUUAUAGCAGCCAUAGGGAUAUAUAUUUUACUCUGCUUACGAUCUGUUGUAUCAGCACUCAUUGCACACCCAUCUGCAGCCCCCAAACGGACAAUAUUUUGUGCUCCAUCGCAGUGCAAUUUAACAAUCAUUCAAUCUUCAUCAUUUAACCAUUUUUGCCAGCACUUUUGCCCCUUUGGUUGUUGCCAGUUUGGACGCAGCGCAGCAAUAAUAAUGAUAAUUUUGUUAAUAGUAUUCGAACUGUGUUCUGUGCUGCCGUUGACGUCGCCAGGCGGCCAGGCGGCCAGGCGGCUCAUCGUGAACUGAGUACACAAUGGCUAAAGUACAUACCAGAUACAGAUACAACAACUACAGCUCAUGCGGCAGAACAAACCCAAACAGAGAAGGAAGCAAUAGCGACAAAAAAAAAAAACAAAUAUACAAAAUACGAAAAAAAAAAAAAUAACGUAAAGUAAAAUAAACCGCAGAGCGAAGCGCGAAACGGCAGCGAAAAAUAAGCGACGCCAGCAGUUUGUCACUCAAUCGCCCAGACAUCAGUCGCGUUUUCGGAUCGACAGAACGAAAAACGAAAAAACGGAAAAACUACCAAAAAGUCUCGACGAGUAUCUAACAGAUACUCGCAAAUCGGAGACGUGCUCGCCGAUCGCCGAACGCCGCUGUAAUCUGAGUACAAAAACCGAUUUGUGAGAGACAUUUUAUUGGGCAGCGGGGCAGCUUUACAUUUGCCGCGCACGCGUGUUCCACAGCCAAAGUUAAAGUUCAAGACGUGCGCCGAUCCGAUCCGAUCCGUUGCAGUUUUUAAUAUAGCCCAGGAGGCCCAUAAAACUACAACAACAACAACAACAAACAACAAAACAAGCAAG
Long non-coding RNA from Drosophila obscura, 866 nucleotides. RefSeq lists it as uncharacterized. The record is from RefSeq and is a predicted model, not a curated record. The transcript has 2 exons. NCBI's taxonomy places the organism in Eukaryota, Metazoa, Arthropoda, Insecta, Diptera, Drosophilidae.